This 253-nucleotide ribosomal RNA is filed under the name uncultured bacterium. RNAcentral describes it as "partial 16S ribosomal RNA". It matches the Rfam family "Bacterial small subunit ribosomal RNA", at positions 524 to 776 of the family's 1533-position model. The record is from RNAcentral.
UACGUAGGGGGCGAGCGUUAAUCGGAAUUACUGGGCGUAAAGCGUGCGCAGGCGGUUUUGUAAGCCAGAUGUGAAAUCCCCGGGCUUAACCUGGGAAUGGCAUUUGGGACUGCAAGGCUGGAGUGUGGCAGAGGAGACUGGAAUUCCUGGUGUAGCAGUGAAAUGCGUAGAUAUCAGGAGGAAUACCGAUGGCGAAGGCAGGUCUCUGGGCUGACACUGACGCUCAUGCACGAAAGCGUGGGGAGCAAACAGG